Molecule: ribosomal RNA, 410 nt
Filed under: uncultured bacterium
Lineage: Bacteria
Description: bacterial SSU rRNA
Rfam family: Bacterial small subunit ribosomal RNA
Source: RNAcentral
AAUGGGCGCAAGCCUGAUGCAGCCAUGCCGCGUGUGUGAAGAAGGCCUUCGGGUUGUAAAGCACUUUCAGCGGGGAGGAAGGCGAUAAGGUUAAUAACCUUGUCGAUUGACGUUACCCGCAGAAGAAGCACCGGCUAACUCCGUGCCAGCAGCCGCGGUAAUACGGAGGGUGCAAGCGUUAAUCGGAAUUACUGGGCGUAAAGCGCACGCAGGCGGUCUGUCAAGUCGGAUGUGAAAUCCCCGGGCUCAACCUGGGAACUGCAUUCGAAACUGGCAGGCUAGAGUCUUGUAGAGGGGGGUAGAAUUCCAGGUGUAGCGGUGAAAUGCGUAGAGAUCUGGAGGAAUACCGGUGGCGAAGGCGGCCCCCUGGACAAAGACUGACGCUCAGGUGCGAAAGCGUGGGGAGCAAA